This 220-nucleotide long non-coding RNA is filed under the name Elaeis guineensis (African oil palm). Its description in RNAcentral is "long non-coding RNA (EGUI_LNC067107)". The record is from RNAcentral. Lineage: Eukaryota; Viridiplantae; Streptophyta; Magnoliopsida; Arecales; Arecaceae.
CUUUUUAGGAUAAGGAUUAGAGGUCCAAGAUUUAAUCCCCAUCUUUGGUUGAGGGAUUUGACCAAGUCCAAAUUCAUUUGAAGGGCCAAGAUAGGAUCUUGGUGGUGCCAAUUCUAGAAGGCUGAAAUUCUCUUCGUAACUUUUCACGUAUCAAUUCUCUCUCAGAGUUUUAAAUUAAAUCGAAGGCCUUAAUCUGAUUAUGGCAUGGGAUUUGGAUGGC